RNAcentral lists this ribosomal RNA (189 nucleotides) under Aurantiochytrium limacinum. Its description in RNAcentral is "partial Eukaryotic large subunit ribosomal RNA". It matches the Rfam family "Eukaryotic large subunit ribosomal RNA", at positions 2979 to 3171 of the family's 3401-position model. Lineage: Eukaryota; Bigyra; Thraustochytrida; Thraustochytriidae. The record is from RNAcentral.
CAGGUUAGUUUUACCCUACUGAUAACCAUGUCGCUACAGUAAUCCAAUUCAGUACGAGAGGAACCAUUGGGUCAGGUCACUGGUUUAUGCGAUCUCCUGACAAGGAGUGUUGCGAUGCUACCACCUGUUUGAUAAUGACUGAACGCCUCUAAGUCAGAAUCAAUGCUGGCCGCGACGUACUCCAGAUGC